CAACUUCAUUCAAUUCUUCUUUAACUUUCCUCAUGGCUUCAGGAUUUUUAAGUAGCUCUGCAAUGAUCCAUUCCGUUGUUGUGCUUGUUGUCUCUGUUCCGGUAAAGAAAAUUUCCUGCAACAUCCAACAUAAACAAUAAUAAAUUAAUAUUUGAUCAAGAAGUAUAUGAUUAUAAAAGGAUAUUAUGCUUACCAAUACAAUUAAAAUGACUUUUUCAUAUGGGAUCUUCUCAUGCCAUUCUUUCCCAUCACCUUCAAAUUCCAACAAAGUAUCAAGGAAGUCCUUUGUCUUUUCUUUCCCUAUUUUACGAUCCUUAAUCCUUUCUUCCACGAAACUCGCAACAAUCUCCUUGGCUUUUCCCAGAUCUCGCAACAUGCUCCUUUUGAGUCCUUGGGGAUCUAACCAUUUCAAGAAAGGUAGAAAAUCUGCUAUAUUUGGCGUCCCUACCCACGUAGCUACUUUGUCCAUGGCUUCAAAAAAUUCAUGCCCUUCUUUGCACUGUGAAUCUAAAAGAUCUCUUGACACCACGAGAUUACCUAUUACGUUAAAUGACAUUAGGAAUAAAUAGUGAGGUAAAUUCACUGCGCCUGAUUCUCCCCUUGCUUUCGCAGCUUCAACAUCAUCUUCAAUGCUCCUGUCAGAUAUCAAUUAGUUAUCUAAGAUUAACGAGAAAUUAAUAUAUGGUAUGCAAGAGAGGAGUGAAAAUUAAUUACCGUAACAUUUGAUUGAUGCAUUUUAGGCGAAUGGAAGCUGUCUCAUUGAGUCGCUUGUUGGUCAUGAGUUCCACGGAGCAAAGACGGCGAAGCAUACGCCAGAAGGAGCCAUAACGGCCGAUUGC
This 839-nucleotide long non-coding RNA is filed under the name Manihot esculenta (cassava). RNAcentral's name for it is "long non-coding RNA (MESC_LNC004352)". Lineage: Eukaryota; Viridiplantae; Streptophyta; Magnoliopsida; Malpighiales; Euphorbiaceae. The record is from RNAcentral.